AUAAAUUCAGAUACAGGCAAUCGCUCGGAAAUUACAGUCUUUACCCUAAGUCGGCUAUGGCAUACGAUGUAGUGAUGUACCAUACCUAUUAUGGAGCUUUUUUUCUCAAUUGUACAGUUAUGGCAGGCGAAUUAGAUUUUGUUUAUGUCCUUUUUGUCUUGCCCGAUGAAGCAGUUAUGGCUCUGUACACGACUCAGUUCUCGGUCUAACUUCCCUUUUGGUCUGUUUUGCUAAUACCCUAUUUACGUCAUAUUCACUCAUACACGAGAUUCUUGCCCAAUUUUCUUUUCCUGCGUUUUUAAUUGAAUCAUCAUAGUCAUAUUUUAAUUUUUGAUUCUGCCCAAAUGCUCAUUAUUUUAUUUUGUUUAUUAAUAUAUAUGAUUAGAAUACGGUGUUCUUUGUUGUCAUGAUAGUGAUGGGCUGGCUUGGUUUCUGACUGUAGCAAUUCUGGCUUUUCUGGAUUUCUCUUUGACACGUGGUCAUCGUCUUCUUCUUCUUCUUCCUCUGAGGUGUCUAAUGCUUUCUGGGUUUUGCUCAGAAUUCAGAAUUCAGAUAGAUUCCUGAUAAUCACACUUCAAUUUUCAAAAGUAGGAACAUUAUCACAUGAGUGCUUUUGAAUUCGGCAUCUUGGCCUGGUUUUGAUGCAUGCUUAUUUCACCCAAUUGAGGACUAAUUCUGGGAAAAAGAAAAUUGAUAACAUCUCAGGAUUGAACUGGUCAGUAAUAGGGAUAGGAAAUCUUGGAUUUUCCCAUGUUAGGAUGAUUUGAGUUCUGGUUUUGUGGAAGUAGUCUUCUCUGGUGAUUUCUCAAGCUUUCAUGGGCUUGGGAUUGUAAAUUCUGGGUUUUGGGAUUGAAUCCUAGAUGGACCGGUCUCCUUGUUGCAAGCAUUUCAGAUUACUUGGUUGCAACAUGAAUUCAGUAGCCUGCAAAUGUGUGGUUUUAGUUAUCAUUGCUCUGGUUAUUAGAGUUGUUCUGCUCCCUACAUACUCUAGCUUUUAUGGGACUGAGCAGAGCCAUUUGGUGUUGGUCAGCAACCUCUCCUUCUCAUCUUUGUCAGCCAGUACUAAUUUCGGAAUCCGAAAAGAUAAGUUUCUCGAGGUUCCUCAAAUUGUAUGGGGAUUAAAUAAUCAGAAAAUUGCAUUUGCAAGAGCUUGUCUAACCGCGAGGCUUAUGAACCGGACUCUGUUGAUGCCUAGCUUGAGUGCUUCCUUGUUCUACAAAGACGUUGAGCUCUUGAAGCCCAUUUCGUUUCAUAAGGUCUUCAAGUUUGACAAGUUCAAUUCGCUCUGCAAUGGCUAUGUUCAGUUGGGGAAAUACUCCGAUCUUAAAAACCAAACAGGCGCGUUUGAGCUUCAGAAAGGAAGUGGAAGGAGGUGGACACCCGAGAGAGAUUUGGAUCAGUUGAAGCAGCAUAGUAAGGAAGCAUAUGACGAACAUGAGACGAUUCGUAUAGUUGGGAAGAACCCAUUUUUGUGGCAUGAUCAUUGGCCUGUGAAGGACUAUGCAAAGGUGUUUGAGUGCUUGGUUUUGGUUGACGAGAUCAUGAGAGAAGCUGACAAAGUUGUGUCAAGGAUUAGAGAGAUAGGAGCAGAACAAGUGAGAAGCAAAAGCAAGUCUGCUGAGAACACUUUGUUGCUCAAGUCAGUGCCUUAUGUAGCUGUUCAUAUGAGGAUAGAGUUAGAUUGGAUGAUACACUGUAAGAAUCUUGAGCGUAGACUGAACAUAACCGAAAUUUGUAGCAGCAAAGAGGAGAUCAUGGAGAGAGUUGGCAACAUUGUUGGCCUUAAGACUCCAGCUGUUGUAUAUUUAGCUGUGGCUGAUAGUCUUCUUCAAGAUCCAUCAAUUUUGAACGGAUGGAAAGAAGGGUUGGUUCCUUUUGAGAAGAAGAAACUGGGUUUUGAUGCACGUUACAAGAAGUUCCCCUAUCUCAUUCAGUCUGCGAUUGACUAUGAAGUGUGCUUGAGAGCCGAUGUGUUUGUUGGAAACAGUUUCUCUACAUUUUCUAGCCUCAUUGCUCUUGAGAGAACCCAGAAGCUGAUUAAAAUGGGUGUCAAUAGCUCAUGUGGUGAAGAUGUGAGGUGGCCUGCUUAUGCGUACAACAUAUUAGGGGGAUCAAAAGGGCCUCAAAAAUGGAUGACAAACAUGUCUGGCUCAAGUCUUAAAGAAAUUAGCUAUGGCUCUAACCAAAUUUCAUGUUGAUGGUUUUGAGGCUCAACCAGUUUCUGUAUUCUAAAUGAUCCCACUCCUCCGGCGCAGAUUUGUUGUGCAACUGUUUUUCUUUCCUUGGAUAUGGUACAGAUGACCAAAAUGAGGAUAUGGUACAGCAAUGGAAAAGGUGUGCACAUUCCUCAGUCUGUUACUUCUAAGUUCUAACACAAUCAAGGAAUGAACAAGUUUGGUACCUCAUCUUGAUUCUUGUGGUGGGUCAUAUUAUAGAUCUGAGUAUUUGCUCGAUUGAUUGAGCAUCUGGGCCAUUCUGUUUCCUUGUUUGUUGCUUGGGGAAAGGGUAAAUGUGAAGUACUAGUAGGACAUGUUUAAGGAGCCUUAACUAGUACUCGACAGCUUUAAUUUUGUCAUCAUGAUCUGUUUAAGGAGCCAAUGAAUUCCCAUUUUUGGUGUGUACUAUUGCUUUAUAGGUCCACUUCGAAAUAUUUCAAAGGAACUGAACCGAAGCUGGUAAUUAACCUUGUAUUAUGGCACUACCCAACUAUACGACCACUGGUGCAAUUUACACUUCUUUAUCAAAUCUUUGGGGCCUUUUUCAGUUCGGUUUAGUUACGAAGGUUGUUUUUGGAAAUUGGAUUCGAAGAGGUAACCGACUUAAUGAAAACCUGUCAUUUAAUACCAGUUAAAACAACUUACAAGUUAGGAUCAUGGAUUCAUGAAUA
Molecule: RNA transcript, 2887 nt
Organism: Rosa chinensis
Lineage: Eukaryota; Viridiplantae; Streptophyta; Magnoliopsida; Rosales; Rosaceae
Gene name: O-fucosyltransferase 23
Exons: 4
Source: RefSeq, a predicted model, not a curated record